RNAcentral lists this ribosomal RNA (1428 nucleotides) under human gut metagenome. Its description in RNAcentral is "bacterial LSU rRNA". It matches the Rfam family "Bacterial large subunit ribosomal RNA", at positions 939 to 2451 of the family's 2925-position model. The record is from RNAcentral.
CGAGAUGAGCGCUAGUCUCGUGGGCUCGGAGAUGUGUAUAAGAGACAGGUGUGAGAUAAGUUUCAUAGUCGAAAGGGAAACAGCCCAGACCUACAGCUAAGGUCCCAAAGUACGUUUAAGUGGAAAACGAUGUGAAAUUGCGUAGACAACCAGGAUGUUGGCUUAGAAGCAGCCAUACAUUAAAAGAGUGCGUAAUAGCUCACUGGUCGAGUGACUUUGCGCGGAAAAUUUAACGGGGCUAAAACGUACACCGAAGCUUAGGCUUGUCACAAUGUGACAGGGGUAGGGGAGCGUUGAAUGAGGGGUGAAGUCGUAGCGAAAGCGACGGUGGACUUCAUUCAAGUGAGAAUGCCGGAAUGAGUAGCGAGAAUUAUGUGAGAAUCAUAAUGGCCGAAAGCCUAAGGUUUUUGGAGGAAGGUUCGUCCGCUCCAAGUAAGUCGGAAGCUAAGGUGAGGCUGAAAAGCGUAGCCGAUGCACAAACGGUUGAAAUUCCGUUACCACAGAAAGAUUUAAACUAAGGGACACUUUUGAAGAGCUGAUGCCGGGUGUUGGUUACCCCGGUCGUAAGGGAACGAAAUUAAGUAGUGAAGUCAGCGUGGAUGAAGGCGAGAAAAGCUUAGUGUAUAUCUUAUGUGUCCGUACCGCAAACCGACACAGGUAGGUAGGAAGAGAAUUCUAAGGCCAACGGGAGAAGGGUAGUUAAGGAACUCGGCAAAAUGUCCCCGUAACUUCGGAAUAAGGGGAGGUUUCUACGGAAACCCGCAGAGAAUAGUCCCAGGCAACUGUUUAUCAAAAACACAGCUCUAUGCUAAAUCGAAAGAUGACGUAUAUGGGGUGACGCCUGCCCGGUGCCGGAAGGUUAAGAGGAGGAGUGAGAGCCCUGAAUCGAAGCCCCGGUAAACGGCGGCCGUAACUAUAACGGUCCUAAGGUAGCGAAAUUCCUUGUCAGGUAAGUUCUGACCCGCACGAAUGGCGUAAUGAUCUGGGAGCUGUCUCAACUGCCCGCCCGGCGAAAUUGUAGUACCGGUGAAGAUGCCGGUUACCCGCGACUAGACGGAAAGACCCCAUGGAGCUUUACUGUAGCUUAAUAUUGGAUUUCGGCAUUUCAUGUACAGGAUAGGUGGGAGACUAGGAAACAUAGGCGUCAGCUUAUGCGGAGUCGUCCUUGGGAUACCACUCUUGGAGUGCUGAAAUUCUAACCUGCAGCCCUGAAUCGGGUUGGGGGACAUUGUUAGGUGGGCAGUUUGACUGGGGCGGUCGCCUCCAAAAAGGUAACGGAGGCGCUCAAAGGUUGGCUCAGCAUGGAUGGAAACCAUGCCAUAGAGUGCAAACGCAAAAGCCAGCCUGACUGCGAGACUGACGGGUCGAGCAGAAACGAAAGUUGGAGUUAGUGAUCCGGCGGUAUGUGAAUGGAAAUGCCGUCGCUCA